This 435-nucleotide ribosomal RNA is filed under the name uncultured bacterium. RNAcentral describes it as "partial 16S ribosomal RNA". It matches the Rfam family "Bacterial small subunit ribosomal RNA", at positions 29 to 507 of the family's 1533-position model. The record is from RNAcentral.
AACGAACGCUGGCGGCAGGCCUAACACAUGCAAGUCGAGCGGACAUCUUCGGAUGUUAGCGGCGGACGGGUGAGUAAGGCGGGGUAACGUGCCCGUUGCUUCGGAAUAGCCUCGGGAAACUGGGAGUAAUACCGGAUGUACCCUUUGGGGGAAAGAUUGAUCGGGAAAGGGUCGGCCGGCGUUGGAUUAGUUAGUUGGUGGGGUAAGGGCCUACCAAGCCGACGAUCCAUAGCUGGUUUGAGAGGAUGAUCAGCCACACUGGGGCUGAGACACGGCCCAGACUCCUACGGGAGGGAGCAGAGGGGAAUCUUAGCCAGUGGGGGAAGCCAUGAUCUAGCCAUGCCGCGUAAGCGAUGAUGGCCUUAGGGUUGUCAUGUUGUUUAAUCGGGCAAGAUAAUGACGGUACCCGGAGAAGAAGCCCCGGCUAACUCCGUG